CAGACAGACAAGCUUAAGUACAGCAAGAGACGCCAAGAGACGCCGUCAGCGGUCCGUCCGAGUCUGUGAUCCUGCGUGCUCUUACCACCGUGGUCUACUGUGGCAUCCACUUCCGCGAAGAGGGCGUGCUCCAUGGAGCUGCCUGGACUGAGGUCGAAGCGGCGUUCAGCAAAGCAGUUCCAUUACGGUCAUGGCGGCGAUGGGCCACGCCGUGGACCACGUAGGUCUGUGCAAGUGGACGCUGCUCACCCAGUGUGGCAAUCAGUCGCGUGCUCCGGUGAUAUGCCGUUAUAGACUCGUCCGCGACGGUUGCCGCCAUCGCUGCGUCCCUGGUGACACUGAUGGUGAAGGAGCUCAACAUAACCGGGUUCAAAACAACCGCAACGCGACGAAGUCGCGUGCCGUGGUGGAGUGAUGUGCUCCUCAGUGACGCAGUCAUGGCUGCCUACCUGCUGUCACGAAGG
Molecule: long non-coding RNA, 464 nt
Organism: Dermacentor silvarum
Lineage: Eukaryota; Metazoa; Arthropoda; Arachnida; Ixodida; Ixodidae
Exons: 4
Source: RefSeq, a predicted model, not a curated record